GAAACAUUAUAUUCAUAUCAUCUCAUAGCAUCAUAUCGGGAUAAAUACCAUAUUUAACUCCCGUGGUAGGGUUAUACACCACCAUUAUACCCGUGGUUGGGUCGUAUACCAUGCUUCACUCUCGUAGUAGGGCUAUAAACCACCAUUAUACCUGUGGUUGGGCCGUAUACUAUGUUUCACCGCCAUGGUAGGGUUAUAAACCAUCAUUAUACCAGUGGAUGAGCCUUAACA
This is a long non-coding RNA of Juglans microcarpa x Juglans regia, 231 nucleotides long. RefSeq lists it as uncharacterized. The record is from RefSeq and is a predicted model, not a curated record. The transcript has 2 exons. NCBI's taxonomy places the organism in Eukaryota, Viridiplantae, Streptophyta, Magnoliopsida, Fagales, Juglandaceae.